RNAcentral lists this ribosomal RNA (492 nucleotides) under uncultured bacterium. RNAcentral's name for it is "partial 16S ribosomal RNA". It matches the Rfam family "Bacterial small subunit ribosomal RNA", at positions 29 to 507 of the family's 1533-position model. The record is from RNAcentral.
AGUGAACGCUGGCGGUAGGCCUAACACAUGCAAGUCGAACGGCAGCACAGUAAGAGCUUGCUCUUACGGGUGGCGAGUGGCGGACGGGUGAGGAAUACAUCGGAAUCUACUUUUUCGUGGGGGAUAACGUAGGGAAACUUACGCUAAUACCGCAUACGACCUACGGGUGAAAGCAGGGGAUCUUCGGACCUUGCGCGAUUGAAUGAGCCGAUGUCGGAUUAGCUGGUUGGCGGGGUAAAGGCCCACCAAGGCGACGAUCCGUAGCUGGUCUGAGAGGAUGAUCAGCCACACUGGAACUGAGACACGGUCCAGACUCCUACGGGAGGCAGCAGUGGGGAAUAUUGGACAAUGGGCGCAAGCCUGAUCCAGCCAUACCGCAUGGGUGAAGAAGGCCUUCGGGUUGUAAAGCCCUUUUGUUGGGAAAGAAAAGCAGCAGGUUAAUACCCCGCUGUUCUGACGGUACCCAAAGAAUAAGCACCGGCUAACUUCGUG